This 160-nucleotide ribosomal RNA is filed under the name uncultured bacterium. RNAcentral's name for it is "partial 16S ribosomal RNA". It matches the Rfam family "Bacterial small subunit ribosomal RNA", at positions 355 to 529 of the family's 1533-position model. The record is from RNAcentral.
UGGGGGAUAUUGCACAAUGGGGGGAACCCUGAUGCAGCGACGCCGCGUGGGUGAAGAAGCGCCUCGGCGCGUAAAGCCCUGUCAGCAGGGAAGAAAAUGACGGUACCUGAAGAAGAAGCCCCGGNUAACUACGUGCCAGCAGCCGNGGUAAUCUCUCUCU